Molecule: RNA transcript, 4716 nt
Organism: Neoarius graeffei (lesser salmon catfish)
Lineage: Eukaryota; Metazoa; Chordata; Actinopteri; Siluriformes; Ariidae
Gene: mafb
Gene name: MAF bZIP transcription factor b
Exons: 4
Source: RefSeq, a predicted model, not a curated record
UCUUUUUUCAGCAAAGCAACAAUUUACCAGUCACAUGCACGUUAACCUCCUCAGUUUUACGCAAUUGUAGAGAAAAAAAAAAAAGCAACAACAACAACGAAGCCAUGAAGUGUUAAAUAUUUCCAAUCCAGUCGCACCGACACUCGCCCGCAGAGAGACAGAGGAGCAGGAGAAAGGCGCGCGCGCUGCUCUCACGCGUCCGUGAGAAGCGAACCAAGCCCCAACCACAGGCUAUUAAUUUAUAAAAUAAAUCCUCUCGCCUCGCCGCAAAGCCGACAGCCUUUUUUCACGGUUCUGAAGAAUUAAAUAAAGAAAUCAAGCUGGCUCACGCCGUCUCGAACUCGACUAGUUUGACAGCUGCUCUUUACCCCCUUUGGAGGACUGUCAACAGCAAAAGGAUGGCAUCAGAACUGGCAAUGAGCAACUCCGACCUGCCCACCAGUCCCCUGGCCAUGGAAUAUGUUAAUGACUUCGAUCUGAUGAAGUUUGAAGUGAAAAAGGAGCCGGUGGAGCCCGACCGCAGCAUCAGCCAGUGCAGCCGCCCAGUCGCCGGCGGAUCCGUAUCUUCCACCCCGAUGAGCACGCCUUGCAGCUCGGUUCCUCCUUCGCCAAGCUUCUCGGCGCCCAGUCCGGGCUCGGGGAGCGAGCAGAAGGCGCACCUGGAGGACUUCUACUGGAUGAGCGGCUACCAGCAGCAGCUGAACCCAGAGGCGCUGGGCUUCAGCCCAGAGGAUGCGGUGGAGGCACUGAUCAGCAGCGGCCACCAGCUCCCCAGCUUCGACGGCUACACCCGGGGCCAGCAGUUCGGCAGCGCGUCGGGCGCAGGAGGCACCGUGGCCGGGGAGGAGAUGGGUUCGGCGGCCGCCGUGGUCUCGGCUGUGAUCGCGGCGGCGGCGGCGCAGAACGGCAACCCGCACCAUCACCACCAUCACCAUCACCACCACCACCACCCCACGGGGCACCACGGAGCGCCCGGAGCGCCCGCCAACGGCAACGCGGCCGGGGGCCACCAGCACACGCGCCUCGACGAGCGCUUCUCCGACGAGCAGCUCGUCACCAUGUCCGUCCGGGAGCUCAACCGGCAGCUCCGCGGCGUCAGCAAGGAAGAAGUGAUCCGGCUCAAGCAGAAGCGGCGGACGCUGAAGAACCGCGGCUACGCGCAGUCCUGCCGCUUCAAGCGCGUGCAGCAGCGCCACGUGCUCGAGGGCGAGAAGACGCAGCUCAUGCAGCAAGUGGAGCAUCUCAAGCAGGAGAUCUCCCGGCUGAUGCGCGAGAGGGACGCGUACAAGGAGAAAUACGAGAAGCUCAUCGGCAACGGCUUCCGAGAAAACGGCUCGAGCAGCGACAACAACCCUUCCUCUCCGGAGUUUUUCAUGUCUUCAAGAAAAUUUCUGCACCUGUGAUGUGAAAUGUGAGUCGUAAUCUUCACCCCUGCAGUCUGAGCUCGGUGUGCAGAAGGAGCUCCAGCGCAGUGUUAGGGCACACCAGUGGCUGCCUGAGGUCCCACAACACUGGAAUGCUUCUAGCUCAGACUGACCCAUGGCACCAAAACUGCCCCAAAGCACAAUAGUCAACCUGCAAAGAAAGGAAAAAGAAGAGGGAGAAAAGCGGAGAGGGAAAAAAUAUCUGGUGCCAUUCUUCAGUCUUUGCCAGCUUCUCUUUUUCUGCUGAUUUUUCUUUCUUCUAAAGUUGAUUAUCAGCAAAUCAAGACCACCUUUUACAGGGAAAAUGCUUCCAAAACACUCGCAAAACUAAAAGGACAAGAAAAAGGAUCUGAAGAGGAAAGUUUCCACCUCAAAUUUCUUAAGACUACAAGACUCUUCCCUUCAGCCAGCACUGGCCCUCCUGUUGUCCUCAAAGAUGCUGCUUCAUUGUAAUUAGCAUUAAUGUAGAAUUUUGUACAAGUUCACUGUAGACUGGAUCUGGAGUCUUUGGGCAGAUGGAGUCACGCAGCAGAAGAAUAUUCCGCAACAUUACACACAUUAGAACAGCAUUCUAUGUAAAUUAUGUACAGCGUAUCUACAUGAACCAGUUCUUUCAGUGGUUGGAUAUGUAAAUAGACAGCAUACGUAUGCUUCCUCUACAUCGUCUCUGCACCUUGAGUACAGCAUUUACUCACUCAUUCAUGUUGAUUUGGACAUAUGGAUGGGCAAUAAUGAAUUUUCAAUCCUGAUAUUUUAGAGAAAUUUUUGUGUUGAGUGCUCGAAAGAGGAUCCACUUUAAUACAUGAUUUUUCACCACCCCUAGCUAGAACAACGUUGUGUUAGUCGUUGAUUAGAGAACAGUGUACAGUGUUCUAGAGGUAGCUCGAACCACCUUGCAGGAAAAAGAUGAGAAAGCCGUGUGGCCUGGGAUUUACAAAAGACAAACAGUACAAAUCUCUCUCUCUCUCUCUCUAUCCAUCAGUCUAGUCGACUGAAUUCUCGUUCUCUACCUACUAUACCUUUUCUUUUUUGCUCUUUAUUAUCUCAGUCCUCAUGCAUGGUGAUGAAGCAAGCAGUUGUGGUGAUGGUUGAGCAGGUAAGCCAUGCUGGGCGAAGGGAUUAUAGCGUCACAGUGCCUGAGGGCCGCAGGAUCGCUCCUGCACCAGCCUCUCGCUGAGCUCCCACAGGCUGAGGGCACUCGACAGGUCCUGGGCCUCACUUGACGGCACACAGCGGAAACAGUUGUUGAAGUACAUCCCACCCAGGCCUUCCAGCUCUGGAGCCACUGCACAGUACACCGUAGUGGCUGCACCCUGUUGCUGUAAAAAACACACAAAAACAGAAAUCAUGAUGUCAAAAAAAAGAGCAUGAGCAAGGAGAUUUCCAAGGGGUGAUAUAGCCAAGACAUUGGUAUGAUCAUGUACAACCCCGACAGAAGAUUCUAGAGUGACUAACGGCAAAGACGACGAUUUGAGGCCUGUCAGAAAAGAUCAGAGGGAAGUUCAUUUAGACAGGCGGCUCGCCACAGCCUCAGUGACCUGACUGACGACGGAAGUGAUGAAGGCUGUGUGUACAUACAGACUUUCUGAAUUCACUGUACACAGGAUAAAUGGCGUAAAGACACUGCAUGCUGUCAUGUAAACGACUCAAUUCCUAGUCCUGAAACUGAGCCAAUAAAUGGAUAUAAAUGAUGGCGGAAUGCAAUCGUCAUGUCCUGACAAAACACUGCACGCUGCGUCUUUUCUUAUUCAUUUCAGGGAGGAAAUGCUGGGAUUAAGGAACUUUUGGCUGGCUUUAUAUCUCUUUGCAGAAGAAACAUGAAACAUAGUAUAUGUGUAUGCACUAUACAUAGGAGGCUUUGCUCUUUGGUUAAUGCCUUGUACAGAGAACACAAGCAGGCUGCAAAAAACUGUCCAUCCAUCUGAUGUCAAAUGGGUUUUGUCAGAGUCAAAUGAACACUGCUUCUCACAGCUGGAGGAGACAUCUGUAAACACACGCACAUGUGCGCACACUCAGAUUCAACAAUAACAGGGUGAAGAUCACUCUGAAGACGUAACAAAUCGGUUCAAUGGGGUGGCACACACUUGUCAGAAAUGUUCUCAUCUGUCCAGCACUCGAGUCCUUUUGCACUGGGGUGGUUUCACGGCCAUGUUGCCAAGGCAAAAUAAUCUCUCAUGUGUCUCCUGGCUUUCGUAUUACUGCUGCGUGCUUUCAGUCAGUCAGUUCGAUUAGCAUGAUGAAACGCGUGUUAGGAUUACUCCACUGCAACAUUUAUACCAAAAAAACCCCAACUAUCCAGUAGUCUAUCUCGACCAGAGGCACAGCUUUACUUCUGCAUGACUUAGUACCAUAGGUUUAAACUUUUUUUUUUUUUUGAGGUGACAAAGAUGGAGGGACGAGAAGAAAAACAUGUCAGAUAGAAUUAGAGCACAGUUGUGUUUCAUGCCCCUCCUUCAUGGAAGAAAGCUGUCGCCGUUACUUUGCAUGAAACUCUGCAGGAAACUUGAAAUGAGCCUGUUCUUUAUCUUCUAACAGCACUGGCGUUGUGCACCUCUGAAAAGCCAAGACCAAUGUUUGGGAGCAAUCGGCUGGCAAGCAUUGAGAGAAACUCACACUCCUGGCUCCCAGCACAUGUGCACGCACACACACACACACACACACACACAAAGACUCAGCCUUGUUUAAGCAGACGAAGCCACAGCUGUAGCCCAAGCUGGUGAAGUCUGUAACAGCAUGCUGGUUAGGUGCGUACACAUACGUGUGUCCACACACACACACACACACACACACAGUGGGAAGAAAGUCAAGGCUGUAUCCAGAAAUUCUGUGAGGAAUUUUAUUUCCCUUCUCUUGAGCUAAAUGUGUGUGUGUGUGCGCGCGUGUGUGUGUGUGUGCACCUUUUGAAGUAUGCAGAUGUGGCUCAUUCCUUUGGUUAGCGAGUCAAUAAACAUGACAUCAAAAGGAUGCAUCUCUCCGAGUCUUACCUGCUUUUGGAAUGAUAAGUUAAUACACAUUUGAAGGCAGAAAUAUAAAAGGAUAUAAAAUGUCACUCAAUCUUUGCUAGCCCGUGCAGCCAUACUGUUCAACAUGCAGACUCGGACCAGACAGUAUUUACUCAUCUGGUAAUUACAUUUCUCGGGUGAUAUGCUGAAAGCUCUACAACUCUUUCAACGCAAGUUUUAAACAUCGGGGGGGAAAAGGAAAUGAAGAAAAUGCUGUAGACCUGAAAGUUAGCAAAACUGGCAUCAUUUGGCACAAUAUUCACUUCAACUGAAACAACAACUUGGAUUCA